Molecule: ribosomal RNA, 400 nt
Filed under: uncultured bacterium
Lineage: Bacteria
Description: bacterial SSU rRNA
Rfam family: Bacterial small subunit ribosomal RNA
Source: RNAcentral
GAUGAACGCUGGCGGCGUGCUUAACACAUGCAAGUCGAACGAAGCACUUAAGACAGAUUCUUCGGAUGAUGGAUUAAGUGACUGAGUGGCGGACGGGUGAGUAACGCGUGGGUAACCUGCCUCAUACAGGGGGAUAACAGUUAGAAAUGACUGCUAAUACCGCAUAAGCGCACAGUACCGCAUGGUACAGUGUGAAAAGCCGAGACGGUAUGAGAUGGACCCGCGUCUGAUUAGCUAGUUGGUGGGUAACGGCCCACCAAGGCGACGAUCAGUAGCCGACCUGAGAGGGUGACCGGCACAUUGGGACUGAGACACGGGCCCAAAACUCCUACGGGAGGCAGCAGUGGGGAAUAUUGCACAAUGGGGGAAACCCUGAUGCAGCGACGCCGCGUGAGUGAAG